RNAcentral lists this ribosomal RNA (405 nucleotides) under uncultured Bacillota bacterium. RNAcentral's name for it is "uncultured Firmicutes bacterium partial 16S ribosomal RNA". It matches the Rfam family "Bacterial small subunit ribosomal RNA", at positions 355 to 774 of the family's 1533-position model. Lineage: Bacteria; Bacillati; Bacillota. The record is from RNAcentral.
UAGGGAAUAUUGGGCAAUGGAGGCAACUCUGACCCAGCAAUGCCGCGUGAAUGAAGAAGGUUUUCGGAUUGUAAAGUUCUGUUCUAAGGGAAGAAUAAAAUGACGGUACCUUAGAAGAAAGCCACGGCAAACUACGUGCCAGCAGCCGCGGUAAUACGUAGGUGGCAAGCGUUGUCCGGAAUAACUGGGCGUAAAGGGAGUGUAGGUGGCUUUUUAAGUUAAAUGUGAAAUCCUUGGGCUUAACCCAAGAACUGCAUUUAAUACUGAAUAGCUAGAGUGCAGGAGAGGAUAGUGGAAUUCCUAGUGUAGCGGUAGAAUGCGUAGAUAUUAGGAGGAACAUCAGAGGCGAAGGCGGCUAUCUGGACUGUAACUGACACUGAGACUCGAAAGCGUGGGGAGCAAACA